Molecule: ribosomal RNA, 498 nt
Filed under: uncultured bacterium
Lineage: Bacteria
Description: bacterial SSU rRNA
Rfam family: Bacterial small subunit ribosomal RNA
Source: RNAcentral
GAUGAACGCUAGCUACAGGCUUAACACAUGCAAGUCGAGGGGCAGCAUGAACUUAGCUUGCUAAGUUUGAUGGCGACCGGCGCACGGGUGAGUAACACGUAUCCAACCUGCCGAUGACUCGGGGAUAGCCUUUCGAAAGAAAGAUUAAUACCCGAUGGCAUAGUUCUUCCGCAUGGUAGAACUAUUAAAGAAUUUCGGUCAUCGAUGGGGAUGCGUUCCAUUAGGUUGUUGGCGGGGUAACGGCCCACCAAGCCUUCGAUGGAUAGGGGUUCUGAGAGGAAGGUCCCCCACAUUGGAACUGAGACACGGUCCAAACUCCUACGGGAGGCAGCAGUGAGGAAUAUUGGUCAAUGGACGAGAGUCUGAACCAGCCAAGUAGCGUGAAGGAUGACUGCCCUAUGGGUUGUAAACUUCUUUUAUACGGGAAUAAAGUGAGGCAUGUGUGCCUUUUUGUAUGUACCGUAUGAUAAGGAUCGGCUAACUCCGUGCCAGCAGCCG